This 119-nucleotide ribosomal RNA is filed under the name Xylaria sp. 3429. RNAcentral describes it as "partial 28S ribosomal RNA". The record is from RNAcentral. Lineage: Eukaryota; Fungi; Ascomycota; Sordariomycetes; Xylariales; Xylariaceae.
UCGCCUACAGAGGAGCCGGCGCCUUGCCGUAAAACCCCCUCAUUUUUUUUUACAAGGUUGACCUCGGAUCAGGUAGGAAUACCCGCUGAACUUAAGCAUAUCAAUAACCGGAGGAACAC